RNAcentral lists this ribosomal RNA (235 nucleotides) under uncultured bacterium. RNAcentral describes it as "partial 16S ribosomal RNA". It matches the Rfam family "Bacterial small subunit ribosomal RNA", at positions 99 to 334 of the family's 1533-position model. The record is from RNAcentral.
CGGACGGGUGAGUAACGCGUGGGUAACCUGCCUCAUACAGGGGGAUAACAGUUGGAAACGGCUGCUAAUACCGCAUAAGCGCACAGUACCGCAUGGUACAGUGUGAAAAACUCCGGUGGUAUGAGAUGGACCCGCGUCUGAUUAGCUAGUUGGUGAGGUAACGGCCCACCAAGGCAACGAUCAGUAGCCGACCUGAGAGGGUGACCGGCCACAUUGGGACUGAGACACGGCCCAG